GGGAGAGGAGGGCUGCGGGGACAGGAGUGGCCCAUGCCAGGGAGCCUUUGUGAGAGAGGGAAGGUGCUGGGGGCCCCCACUGCCCCUGACCUGCCCUGAGCCUGGCUCCCCGUGGGAGUCCCUGACAGUCCUCCUGACAGCCAGGGAGGCGGCUAUCCAUCCCCUGCCUCCCGCAGCCCAGGUGGGACUGUGGUCCCCGGAUCCCGUGGUCCCCGAGUCCCGUCCUUUCACACAGGCUUCAGAGGAGGAGCAGCCCGUGGCGGAAUCGAACGUGAGACGUGCUGAAUUCUGAAGGUAAAACCAGAGACUCGGAGGCCUCCCAGCUGUGAGAGCAGCGGCCUUGUUUGACAAGCCGCGUCCCCCAGGCUGAGGUCACUGUCCCUGGUGGUGAGUGUGCUCAGGUGGGAAGCGGGGGGCUUGCUGGACACUCUCCUGGCUUGGGAGGGGACAGGGAGCGGGGGCCUCAGGGUACUCAGUGUGUCCCCAGCGAGCUUCACCAUGGAGCCCCAGGAUCCUCUCAACACACCCGCCCGCCUCAUUCCCAGGGGUAGAAACUGAGGUCCAUACAGAUGAAAUGACCAUGGGCCUCCGGAGCAGCCAGUGCACCACGGCCUUGGCCCAGUGGCUCCACCUCCCAGGACCUUGGUGUCCCCUUCUGGGAAUGGGGAGGUCGCUUAACUGAGGCCUUUCUGAGCCCCAGAUGAUAAAAUUAAAAUUGCCGUAAAACCGUCACGGCGGGGAGGGCCUGUCUCAGUGAGUUUUCUGUUGCUGUAACAAAGUACUCGAGCCGGGCGCGGUGACGCCCGCCUGUGGUCCUAGCAGCUCAGGAGGCUGAGGCUGGAGGAUCACAAGUUCAAAGCCAGCCUCAGCAACUUACUGAGACCCUGUCUCUAAAUAAAAAAUAAAAAGAGCCGGGGAUGUGACUCAGGGGGUAAGAGCCCCUGGGUUCAAUCCCUGGUACAAAAAACAAAACCCAACAAGAUGCCUGAGUCUAGGGAAUUCAUGAAGAAUAGAGGUCCACUGGCUCUCAGUUCUGGAGGCUGGGAGGUCCAGGGCCAAGGCAUGGGUACCGCGAGGAACCUUCAUCUCCUCCCAAAGGCCUGCCUUGGAAUACUAUCCCCGUGGGAAUUAGUUUCCAGCACGUGAACUUUGGGGGGACACACUGAAGUCACUGGGCCUGGCUGUGGCGAUGGACAGGGAGCCCGAGGCCCAGGCAGGAGGAGGCUGGGGGCGUGGGUGUGGUCACCAGCCUUUGGGGAGCCAAGGGCGUGCAGGGCCAUUUCACAGCCAGGGCUGGCCUGAGGCCACCUGGGCAGGGGACGCGAUGGGAUCUGGACUCUGUGGGUCUGAGUCGGAGCUGGACUUCUUCGGCCCUGGCUGGCUGCCCCCCAGGGCUCGGCCCCUGCCUCUCCUCUGAGGGCAGCUGGGGUCGACGCUGGGGGCAUCCCUUCCUGGACUCUCCUUCCAGUGACCUCAUUCCAGACCCUUCCCUUCCCCUGCACCUCCAUCACCCUCCCUCCGCUCUGCACCCACCCUGGCUCCCCAGGCCCCACCCCUGGCCAUCCUGAGGGCUCCCGCCACACAGCUGUCCCUGCAGAAGCUGCCCAGCCAGUCAUUUAGCUCAAGGAGGUGACUUGGCUGUGGUCUCCUGAGACAGGGACUCUCUGUCCCCUUCCUGCCUGGGUUCCUUGGGCUCUGCCCCUGAGGGGCCCCUGGAGACCCAUCUCCUGGCUGGGACACCCAGCGGGACCCCAAGCCCCCGGAGACCCAGAGAUCCCCUGGACACGGCUCUCCGCCCGGCUCUGGGCACCUUCCACACACUGGCGUUUGGUUACGCAAGAAAUUCAGAUUCAUUGCCCCAAAUUGGAUAAUACACAUAAACAAACAGCGAGAGGAAAGUGAGUCACCCUGUCGCUCAGCAGGCAGCGCCGGCCUGUCACACUUCGUCCCCGUCCCCGCAGGAACUCUUAACUUUCAACCAAACCAGAAACUGGCUACUGGGGCUUUGACCCAGCACGUCGGUCCCCUGUCCCCUGUGCCUGGCAUUGGGCCAGGGGUGUGGGGUGGACCAGGAGCCCGAGGAGGGGGUCCUAUUAUUUUGGCCACUUGGUAGAUGGGGAGAGGUUCAGAGGUCCAGCAUCCCUCCCACCAGUGGCUUGCUCAAGGUUACCCGGCUGCCAAAGCUGGGGAGCUGGGCUGGGGUCAGGCACUGGCCUCCCAGAGUCCAGAGCUCGGUGGGCCAGGUGCUGUGGGACCCCCGCUGCUGCUGGGCUUCCCCUCCCCCAGGAGCCAGGGCAGGCGCUCAGCAUCCCGCCAUUAGCAUAUCCAUGAGCAUCCCUGAAACCCAAUUACCCAGAGGGCUUGGGCCCCAGCCAGCCGUCCUGCCAUCUCUGCAGGAAGAGGGGCCGGGGCCCUGGCAGACCGCUGGGGGAGAGUGCAGGUAGGGAACCCGGGGGCUGGGGAGGGCCUGCUGGUGGCUGUGGACCCCACCCCUGCCCAGCGUUGGGCGGGCGGCCUCCUCUGCCCAGCUGCAGCGGGGUGGGUCCUACUUCCCCAAGGAGGCACCCUGGGUUCUGCUGCCCCCUCCAGCGUCCCCUCCCACCUGGCAGCCCCUCAGCGCCCCCCCCCCCAGCUCCUGGGACUCUUUUCCACUUAUUUCUUACAUAGAAAAGCGCGUGUAUGUACAGAUGUGAGCGCUACGGUCUGCAGGUCCCCCCAGCUCACGUGCUGGAAGCUUAACCCCACAUUUCACGUGUGGAUGGUGUUUGGAGGUGACCCUUUGGGAGGUGAGGAAGGCUCGAUGAGGUCAUGAGGGUGCCCCCCACCCCCAUGGCAUGGGUGGCCUUCUGCGAAGUGGGACCUGAGCUGGCCUGGUGCUCACGCGGUGUCCUGCGCCAGGCUGUGCUGCAGGAAGAAGGCCCUGAACAGACACACCCAUGCCGCCGUCCUGGGCUUCCCAGCCUCCAGAACCAGAACCGCGACCCAAGGACCCAAGAAACCUUUAUUCUUUGUCAGUCACCCCGGCUCAGGCGUUCACUUAGAGCAAGGAAACGGCCCAGGGCCAGCCUGAAGGCCAGCGACAAGGCAGCAGAUUUGUCCACCAGGCCCACGCCGCUCACCCAGGCUGGAACGUUCCAGGGUGAGGCAGCCCCACGCCCGGCGUCCUGUCCUUUCUCUCCCGACCCAUGGACAGGUGUGCCCAGCUUCGCCUCCUGCGGGCAACGGCGUGUCAUCCGUGCACGUCUGUGUGCACAUGUGCCGGCGUUUCUCUGGGAGCAGGUUGCAGGGUUGUGGUAUAUGCACAUCUUUACUGGUUAUUGCCAAAUUGCUCUCCAAAGUGGUUGUUCAGAUGAUCGUUUUAAAAUAUAAAUUAGAUCAUGUCACUUCCCUGAUCAAAACUCUCAAAUAGCUUCCUAUUAUACGUAGAACAAAAUCCAUAUUCCCCUCCACGAACACCCGGCUGCGUUCCAAAGUCUGCUCUCCCCUCCCCCGCAACUUUCUGGCCUCCUUUUUUUUUUCUUUUCUUUUUUUAAAUGGCCCUGGCUUUCUCAUGCCCCAGGGCCUUUGUACAUACUGUUCCCUCUGUCUCACACACUCUUCUUUUAGCUCUUUCCAAACUGGCUCCUUCUGAUCUUUCAGGUCCCAGUGAAAAUGUUACCUCCUCUAAGGAGCCUCCCCAGCCCACCCAGUUGAAGUAUCUGCCUAUUUCUGUCAUCACUUCCUUUGGAGUCCACAGCAUGGUUCUAUAAUGAUCUUUUACUCUUUGCCUGCUGGUUUAUCAUUAAUUGGCCUGGCGGCCUAUGGCAGGAGGGCCUCAUCUGCCUCAUUUCCUCCUGGAUUCCAAAGGCCAGCAUGGGCCUGGCACCCAAGGGCUAUUCUUAGGACCACUUAUCCGUUCAAUAGACCUUGCUUCAGCCACCAUGUCUGGAGCGGUGGAUGACAAUGUGCCUGGUGUGUGGGGGGGUGGGCUACGGGAGAGGGGACACAGCAGAGGGGAGUGCGCUGAGUUGAAGGUAGGGUCAGGCCCACGGCCUGUGUGGAACCUUCCCCACGGCCAUGGGGAAUCAUGAAAGGUGCUGGAGCCAGGAGCAGCGGGGUUGACUUGCAUUUUAGAAGUGAGAGGGGCAGUGAAUUGCAGGAGGUGGUGGCUAUGUGCACAAAACACUGCCCACGGCUUGAGUGGGAGGUGGACACCAGGAGGAUCCUCCCUGGACCCCAGCAAGGCCCCCUCGACUGAACCCCCCCCACCUCGUACAGCUGGGAACUGAGACCCUAGGAGGAGAGGAACCCGAAGCAAGAUGCUGAGGGUCCUCAAGUGGGAGUCCCCCCCUGCCCUGGACAGCCAUCUGACCCCUCCAGGGUCUUGUCCUAUGGGGACAAGAGGGCAGCCCAGCGGGGUCCCUGCUCUGCCCACCGCAGGGACCCCCUGGCUCGGGUAUCCUCUCCUCUCUGCCCUCCUGCCCUCCCAGCUUGGGCUCCGCACGGGGGAAGGAGAGGGAGGAGGAGGCUGGCCGUGGCCGCCAUUGGUAUGCGAGGCCCAGCCUCGGCCCUCAGCGGCCCAACCUUCCUGCUCGGCUCUUUAAGAAUCCCUCCUCGGAGCUGCCGCGUGGUGGUUGCCGGGCAACCACAUCCCGCCCCGCCCCCACGGCUGGCGCUGGCUCCCUCCCCUCCCCCUCCCCGGCUCCUCCCUCCCCGCCCGCCUCAGCGGCGCCCGGGCCUGGGCACCUGGGCCUGCAGGUGAGGGGCUGGGGGUGAGCCCGCCCAACCUGGCCCCUGAGCAGGCUCAGUACCCCCGGAUCUGGAGAGGGGGACCCGGGCUUAGCACAUCCUUGCUCAUCACCCUGGAGCCCCCCGUGGGGCAGGUGGAGACUGGGGGAGGGUUCCAGAAGACGAUGUCUCUUUCUUCCCCAGAACUCUGGGAGGGGACCUGGGCUCAGAAGCCCAGUCCUGAUUCCCAUCCCCUCCCGGGGCUCGGUCUUGAGUGGUUUCUGCUGCCCUGCAGAGGUGGGGGGCUGGGGAGGCUGGGGGAGGCCCAGGAGGUGCCUGAGUCCCAGCGCAGGUGAGGGGAGAGGGCCCUCUCUCUGCAGCCCCCGGCCGGGCUGGCUGAGCUGGGCCCUUGGACCCUGGCAUGAGGCCUAGAGAGCCCCAGGGUCCUGGGGAGACUGAGGCAGUAGCCAUCUUGGACAGGGACAGGGACAGGAUGGAGAGGGAGGAGGUGAGGACCCUAGAGGCUCUGGGUCCCUGAAGAACCCCCCAGCCCCUGGCCUCACCCUCCCCUUCCCUCUGGCCCUCAGGGGGAGCUCCCGAUCUUGGGCUGACACCCCCCCCACAGCCCGCCUCGCCCUUGCUGUCCAGCUCCCAUGCUGUCCCUCUCGUGGCUGGCCUUCGAGGCAGAAUCCACAUUUCCUCCUGUGGAGGGUGUGUGAACCGGUGCACGCUGGCCAGUCAAGAAAGCCGAGGUCUCCACAGAAGCAAGUCCUCUCCUGGGGAUAAUGGCUGGGCAUCUGGAAGGCGUGGGGACAGGGGAGGUGGUAUCACUGGUGGGAAGAAGAGGAGGCUCACAGGGGGAAGGAGGGGCCCAUGAGAAAGGCUCGGGACCCACAGCCCAGUCCUGCCGCCUGGAACCUCCUUCAGGUGGCAAGGUCCCGCCUGUCUGUCCCUCUCUGGAGGUUUCUCCCCACCAUCCAGGGGCACCUGUUGGUCUUGGUCUCUACCCCCCACCAGCCGAGACCCCACCCUGCCCUCUCCCCAGGAGCUGUAAAUGGGUCUGGCCUCUCUCUGAGACCCUGGAACCAUCAUUCUGGGGGAGUUCCCAAUUUUAGGAGUCAUGGCUGGCCUUGGGACAGCUCUGUCACUGUGACUCGCCUCAGUGUUAUAGUCAUUCACUCAGUAAUGCUGGGCUAUGCUCUCCCCAUGCACAGGGCUGUGUGGCAGCUGCUGGGGACACAGAGGGACCAAAACAGAUCCUGGCUGUGACUUCCCAGUGCUGGAGGUCAGGUGGAAGAGACGGGCACUAACCAGACACACAUCUGGGGUACAGACCCCCGUCCUAAGUCACGUGCUGUUUUACAUCUGUCCCAGGAGGAAGCCACCCCCUGUGAAAUCAUCAGCCAUGCCCUGAUUCCAGAGAGGGGCAAGUGGCGUCCAGUGGCUGAAAAAUGGAGUCCCACGAGUCAUGGGAAGUCACAAAUGAACUAAGAGCCACCAUCGAGAAGCAGGGAGCAGAGAGAACAAGCUGAAGGCGUGGUGUGGGUGUUUGUCCUCCCAAAUCCAUGUUGGAAUUUCAUCCCCAAUGCCAUAUGUUGAUGGCUUGGAGGGAGGUUUUGGGCAGGUAAUUAGGAUCAGAUGAGGUCAUGAGGGUGGGACCCCCAUGAUGGCAUUAGUGCCUCCUGCCUGUCUUCCUUAUGGUGGGCAGUCCUAGCCAGGUGGCACACAUCUGGAAUCCCAGGGACUUGGGAGGCUGAGGCAGGAGG
This 6473-nucleotide long non-coding RNA is filed under the name Marmota monax (woodchuck). The record is from RNAcentral. Lineage: Eukaryota; Metazoa; Chordata; Mammalia; Rodentia; Sciuridae.